Molecule: ribosomal RNA, 468 nt
Filed under: uncultured bacterium
Lineage: Bacteria
Description: partial 16S ribosomal RNA
Rfam family: Bacterial small subunit ribosomal RNA
Source: RNAcentral
GACGAACGCUGGCGGCGUGCUUAACACAUGCAAGUCGAACGGAAAGGCCCUGCUUUUGUGGGGUGCUCGAGUGGCGAACGGGUGAGUAACACGUGAGUAACCUGCCCUUGACUUUGGGAUAACUUCGGGAAACUGGGGCUAAUACCGGAUAGGAGCUCCUGCUGCAUGGUGGGGGUUGGAAAGUUUCGGCGGUUGGGGAUGGACUCGCGGCUUAUCAGCUUGUUGGUGGGGUAGUGGCUUACCAAGGCUUUGACGGGUAGCCGGCCUGAGAGGGUGACCGGCAACAUUGGGACUGAGAUACGGCCCAGACUCCUACGGGAGGCAGCAGUGGGGAAUAGUGCACAAUGGGCGGAAGCCUGAUGCAGCAACGCCGCGUGCGGGAUGACGGCCUUCGGGUUGUAAACCGCUUUCGCCUGUGACGAAGCGUGAGUGACGGUAAUGGGUAAAGAAGCACCGGCUAACUACGUG